Taeniopygia guttata (zebra finch) is the source of this 2100-nucleotide long non-coding RNA. RefSeq lists it as uncharacterized. The record is from RefSeq and is a predicted model, not a curated record. NCBI's taxonomy places the organism in Eukaryota, Metazoa, Chordata, Aves, Passeriformes, Estrildidae.
CUCCACUAAAAAAGACAAACAGACACACUGACCUCAGUGAGGGAGCACUCCUUUGCCAGGAGGCUUUCCACAUAUUUCUGGGUAAAUCCCUCAUCUGUGGGGUGGGUUUUCUCUGCAUCUCUGUUGUUUUCUUGGUGGUGGUACCAAGGGCUGCUGGCAAAAAUGUUUUACUACAACCUUGUUUCCUUUUAGUGGCACCGGUGUCAUUAAUGGUGUCCUAGCAGAAAGACAGACAGAUGGGCUCUACCUUUGUCAAUACUGAAUUUUUUCACUUGAGCUCACAGGAUUUAAGGAUAGCACUGUCAAGAGCCCUGCACAACCAUAACCACAGAGAGACUGAAGGAGUCAUAUAGACUGAACAGAAGGAAAAGUGUUAGUCUUAUAUGGUCUCUACAAAAAGAGAAGAACUGCACACUUGCAGGUGACCACCAGAGGGCUGAAUCGUCACACAAGAAAGAGACUCCAGCAAUAAGCAGUUCUGAGACCAACUGCAUGUCUGUACCCAGAGAAUGAUUUAUGACAGUGUCACCUCUGCCUGGACUAGCCUUACAGAAAUGUGACAGAUACACCAAAAUCAACCCAGGCUAUGACCUAAAGAUCUUUUGAUACAAGAAAACAAGGAACAAACUAGAGGAAUGAUGCAUUAAAAUAUCCAAGAUGCAGGAAGAAUGUGAUAGGUUGGAAUGAAGGAAAAAAUGCAAAAAAAUGCUUUAUAAAUCUACACGAGAACAUUGUUUUAAACUGAAAGAGGGUAGAUGCAGACUGGAUACAAUGAACAAGUUUUUCACAGUGAGGACUGUGAAAAACACAGGUUCCCCAGAGAGGUGGUGGAUGCCUUGUUCCUGGAAACAUUGAAGGCCACCUUGGAUGGGGCUCUGAGCAACCUGAUCUAGUUGAAGAUAUCCCUGAGCAUUGCAAGUGGGUUCAAAUUAGAUGGUCCUUAUAGUUCCUUUCCAACCCAAAACACCCUGUGACUCUAUGAACCUAUGAAAUUGCUCUAUCCACCUGAAACAGGAACAAAAAGCAACCAUGGAAGCAGCAGACUGACACCUCUGACACAAUAAUAACAAAUUAUUUUGUGUGUUUGAAGGAACUAAUGCUAAGAGACUAAAGUUUGUUUGGCAGACUUAGAGUAGGGAGAAAAAAAAAGCAAUCAACCCCACAAAGAUGAGAACCAAAACCUGAUAUAUCAGAAGUCAGGAGGAAACUUCACCUGACUGGGCUCUGGAGCCCAGGAACACACGCACCUUUACAGACCUGAACACCUGCCACCAAAGUGGUUUUUGGCUCUCUUGCCCUCAGACAUCAUUACCUCAGUUUCCACUAAAUGAUCCAGUAAAAAUGAAGCAUUUUAAAGACUUGCUAUUGAAUAUUUAAUUUUAAUAGAAACAAAGUCUUGUAAAGCAUAGUUAUCUACCUGCUUCAAAAUUACUUUUUGUUUCUUUUCCAGAAAGACUAUUUCUUAAGUGCUUACUGUAACCUUACUGGUUUUCCUUAUGGCAUAAAGCUGUACCAUAACAUUGUUUUAAUAAAAAAACCCUGGAAAUUGAAGUUUAAAAAGUAAGAGAGACAUUUUUAUGUGCCACUUGAAAUGGCACAUAAAAAUGACAUUUUAUGUGACAUUUAAAAGAAAGAUAUACUUCCAGAAAUGUGCCUGUUCAGAGUAGCACAGAAAUGAUCAACGUGCUAAUCUAAAUUGCUAUCCAAAUGUUUUACACCAGUAAACUAUGCUGAUAUUUAAUCAGAAAAGUUAAUACUUAUAAAAACAUUAACCAAUGAGCGUGUUAUGACCAAUGUUUUUAUCCUCUAAUACCAACAAGCUUAUUGCAUGGCAUUUCCAAGCUGGGGCAUUGACAAAUGCCCUUUAUUUUAACCAAAGACACUAAUUCCAGAAAAAACUCCAGUAAUGCUUAUAACAAUAAUCUACUUAGAACUUGAUUUUAAAGUCAAGAAACUGAGCAAUGGUUUUGUAACAGCCAGUGAAGAAAGCCUGAUGCUUGGUUCAACACUGACUGUUAUAAAAUAUGUCAGUUGCUACACAUCCCAUGCCUGGAAUGUAGCCAUGUUUAGCACUGAAGUAUGGUAUUCAAUACUAUAGCA